RNAcentral lists this ribosomal RNA (1227 nucleotides) under Triticum aestivum (bread wheat). Its description in RNAcentral is "partial small subunit ribosomal RNA". The record is from RNAcentral. Lineage: Eukaryota; Viridiplantae; Streptophyta; Magnoliopsida; Poales; Poaceae.
AUGACCAACCCCUCCUCCCCGUCUUCUCCAUCCUCUUCUCCCACCUCCGCGCACCAUCGCCAGUACGAAGAACCGGCGGCGGCGGCGGCCAAGGUGGGCAACGGCGGCCAGGUAGACCACGGCAUUUCGUUUCCGGAGGCCAUAGACGACGUCGAGGGCGCCGAGCUGUCGCCCCCGCGCUGCGAAUGGGAGUUCCGGCUCGCGGCCACCGUGCCGUCCCCGUCGCUGGCCGGCGCGUCCGAAGCCAUCGGCAGCGUCGACUUCGACCCCGCCGGCCGCCUCCUCGCCACGGGCGGCAUCGCGCGCAAGGUCCGGAUAUACGGCGUCGCCGGCCUGCCGUCGUCGCCUAGCCCCGCCGCGUGCAUCUGCGUGCCGGCCAAGCUCAGCAGCGUGCGGUGGCGUCCCGAGGAAGGGGGCGGCCGUGCGGUGGGGUGCGGCGACUACGACGGCGUCGUGACGGAGUACGACGUGGAGCGCGGCGUCGCGGCGUGGGAGCGCGACGAGCACGCCGGGAGGCGGGUGUGGGCGCUCGACUACGCGCCACGCGGCGGUCACACGUCCAUGGCGGCGUCCGGCUCCGACGACAGGACGGCGCACGUCUGGGACCCGCGGUCCCCCUCGGGCUCAUGGGCCACGGCGCGGGCCGGCGGCGCGGUGCUGUGCGUGGAGUUCGACCCGUCCGGCGGGCCGCAGCUGGCGGUGGGCUCGGCGGACCGGCGCGCGGCCGUGUACGACGUGCGCGCGCUGGGCCACGGCGCGGUGGCUUCCAUGGACGGGCACGCGCGCGCCGUGACGUACGUGCGGUGGGCGCCGGCGCGGCGGGUGGUGACGUCGGCCGCCGACGGGACGCACCGGCUGUGGGAGUGGCCGUCGACGCCGGAGCUGUCGGGGCCGGCGCGGGAGGUGCGGUCGUACAGCGGCCACGUCAGCGGGCGGAGCUUCGUGGGGAUGGGGCUGUGGCGCGGCGCCGGGCUGGUGGCCAGCGGGUCCGAGUCCAACCACGUCUUCGUCUACGACCUCAGGUGGGGCAAGCCUGUCUGGGUGCACCCCUUCGACGUCGCCUCCGACGGCUCCUCCGACGCCGAAGGGUUCGUUAGCGCCGUGACGUGGCUGCAGGGCGACGCCGACGGCGACGGGGCGCUCGUCGCCGGCAGGUCGGACGGCGUGCUGAAGAUGUUCACGUGCCAACCACGCCGGGGAGAUGACCACCCAGUGGACGACCCAUAG